This 297-nucleotide unclassified non-coding RNA is filed under the name Hevea brasiliensis (rubber tree). The record is from RNAcentral. Lineage: Eukaryota; Viridiplantae; Streptophyta; Magnoliopsida; Malpighiales; Euphorbiaceae.
AUGGGUUGUCGUUAUCUGAACUUGAGUUUUGCAGGUUUGAUCCAUCAUCCAACAUGCCAAAACCAAUGUUCUGAUCUACUUUAAAAGCUACACGCCGUCUCUUAUGAUUCUCAACAACUUUACGAUAAAAAGACAUCUGUUCUGGUGUUCGCUUUUCUGUUUCACUGUCACCAAACUGUAACCUAUAUGAUUUACUUGCUUUGUAUUUUUCAAAGAACUGGUUAUACCAUGUUUCAGGUAAAUCAUCAAGCUUCAACCUCUGAGACAUUGUAUCAACUUCUGACUCGCUAUAUCUCG